Bos taurus (domestic cattle) is the source of this 1870-nucleotide long non-coding RNA. NCBI's taxonomy places the organism in Eukaryota, Metazoa, Chordata, Mammalia, Artiodactyla, Bovidae. The record is from Ensembl.
CCCAGUAAAAUAUGGUUUCUCCAGGUGGAUCAUAAUUCAAGUAAAGUGUAAUUAUUGAUCUCCUUCCCUAAAUCAAUUGAAAGCUCGCUCUUUGCACAAUGGAAAAAAACAAAAAAUGGAGGAUGCAGAAGCAAGUAAAAGAAAACAAAAUUGAUUGACAUAUACACACUACUAUAUAUACAAUAGAUAAUUAAUAAGAACGUACUAUAUAGCACAGGGAACUCUACUCAAUACUCUGUAAUGACCUAUAUCAGAAUCUAAAACAGACUGGAUUCACUUUUCUGUACACCUGAAACCUAUACAUUAUAAAUCAACUAUACACCAAUAAAAAUUAAUUAAAAUAAAAAGAAAAAUUGAUGUCACAUUUAUCCUGCCAGAAUUCUAGAUUGGAAUGAUAUUUUGAGCACAGAUUCAAAUUCCACCACCCACGUUUUUUAUAUGAAAUAUUUUAUACAGAAUGUUUCCAAUAUAAAUUUGAAAGGUUAAUAUCAUGAACACUUGUAUACACCACUCAGAUUCAAGAAAUGUUAACAAUUUGCUUGAAUUAUAAGCAUUAUGUUGGUGUUUGUUUGUCUGUAUAAAUUUAUUGUCAAGCUACUUGAAACUGGGUUUGAUAUUUAGCCAUUAAAUACUUCAGCAUACAUUUCCUAUAAGAAAAAUGUCUUCAACAGAGCUUCAAUACUUUUAUCAUCACCUAGGAAUAUUAUAUAAAAAAAAAAAUACCCUGUUAUCAUGCAACUAUCAGGCCAUAUGGUCAAAUUUCCCAAACUCACCAACAGAUGCUUUUAUAGUUUUUUUUUAAACUAGAAAAACUUUUGAAACUUUUAUAGUUUUUUUUCUUUUCUUGAAACUAGUGAGGUUUUUGAAACUAGAAUCCAAUCAAGGUUAUGCACUACAUUUGUCUUAUAUCUUUUGUCAUUUUUAAGCCAGAACAGCCACACAAACAUACUGUUUUUUUUUAAUCCCUGUGACAUGGGCAUUUUGAAGAAGUUAGAACAAUCACCUUAUAAAAUUACCACACUCCUGAUGCACUGUCUCCUGCAACAUUACUUAACAUGCUCCUAUGUCUCCUGUAUUCCCUGUAUAUUGAAACUAAACUAAAGUCUUGAUUAAAUACAGAUGAAACAUUUCAGGCAAGGAUAUUUCAAAGGCAGUGCUAUUGCUUCCAACUGCAUCACACCAGGAGCACACAAUGUCAAGCCAUCCACUAUCAGUGACAUAGCGUUUGAUUCCACCAGUUCUCUCCAAAGCUACAGUGAACCCCCUGCAAGCAGGAAGUAAUCCACAAGAUGCUACUUAGCCUCAUCCAAAUAUUCUAUUUCCGAAUAAACUUUCACCUAAUGGUUCCAUAUUCAUUGAUAAUAACUGCUGGAAUUUAUGAUUUCAGGAUGGCAAAACAGUGGUGUCUAGUAGUAUCAUUCCUUCAACAUUUAUUAGUUGGCAAUCUGGAGUACUCACUUCACUUUAAAAGGCAAUGUGGCUAGCCACCAGUAUUCCACUUUUAAUCUUCCUUCUGAGUAUAUGAUGGGUGGAUUAGUCAGCUUUUGCUUCAGCAACAAACAAGCCCAAAUCUUAUUGACUCACAACAACAAACAUCCCUUAUGAAUCUGUGAUUUGCCUGUGGCUCAGCUGUAGCUCUUCUGGGCUUUGCUCCAGGCUCCAGAUCAGUGUAGUGUGUCUCUCAAACCAGGAGUCUGAAAAAGAAGCAACAGCUCCUGGGGGCCUGCUCUUCUCUUCUUGGAUGUUCUGAGUGCUAAAGAGACAAAGGAUGAGAUGCUUUGUAAAGCCACUGCUCCAGGCCAGUGUGCUGUCACUUCUGCCCACGUGGCAUCAGUUGGAGCAAGUCACAAAGUCAGUAGGGUGAAGUUUA